GGGAUUGCCCCAGUAACGGCGAGUGAAGCGGCAACAGCUCAAAUUUGAAAUCUGGCCCCAGGGUCCGAGUUGUAAUUGGCAGAGGAUGCUUUUGGCGAGGGUCCUUCCAAGUUCCUUAGAAUAGGACGCCGCAGAGGGUGAGAGCCCCGUACGGUUGGCCCCCGAGCCUGUGUAAAGCUCCUUCAACGAGUCGAGUAGUUUGGGAAUGCUGCUCUAAUUGGGAGGUAAAUUUCUUCUAAAGCUAAAUACCGGCCAGAGACCGAUAGCGCACAAGUAGAGUGAUCGAAAGAUGAAAAGCACUUUGAAAAGAGGGUGAAACAGUACGUGAAAUUGUUGAAAGGGAAGCGCUUGUGACCAGACCUGCGCCCGGCGAAUCACCCAGCCCCGGCUGGUGCACUUCUCCGGCGUAGGCCAGCACCGGUUUACCGCGGGGGAAAAAGACGGUGGGAAUGUGACUCCUUCUGGAGUGUUAUAGCCCGCCGUGUAAUGCCCUGGGGUGGACCGAGGUACGCGCUCUGCAAGGGUGCUGGCGUAAUGGUCAUCAGCGGCCCGUCUUGAAACACGGACCAAGGAGUCGUCCUCGUAUGCGAGUGUUCGGGUGUAAAACCCUUGCGCGUAAUGAAAGUGAACGCAGGUGAGAGCUUCGGCGCAUCAUCGACCGAUCCUGAUGUUCUCGGAUGGAUUUGAGUAAGAGCAUAUGGGGCCGGACCCGAAAGAAGGUGAACUAUGCGUGUGUAGGGUGAAGCCAGAGGAAACUCUGGUGGAGGCUCGCAGCGGUUCUGACGUGCAAAUCGAUCGUCAAACAUGCGCAUGGGGGCGAAAGACUAAUCGAACCUUCUAGUAGCUGGUUUCCGCCGAAGUUUCCCUCAGGAUAGCAGUGUUGAGCUCAGUUUUAUGAGGUAAAGCGAAUGAUUAGGGACUCGGGGGCGCUAUUUAGCCUUCAUCCAUUCUCAAACUUUAAAUAUGUAAGAAGCCCUUGUUACUUAAUUGAACG
This 994-nucleotide ribosomal RNA is filed under the name Marinokulati chaetosa. Its description in RNAcentral is "eukaryotic LSU rRNA". It matches the Rfam family "Eukaryotic large subunit ribosomal RNA", at positions 71 to 1101 of the family's 3401-position model. Lineage: Eukaryota; Fungi; Ascomycota; Sordariomycetes; Torpedosporales; Juncigenaceae. The record is from RNAcentral.